Molecule: transfer RNA, 107 nt
Filed under: Halostagnicola larsenii XH-48
Lineage: Archaea; Methanobacteriati; Methanobacteriota; Halobacteria; Halobacteriales; Natrialbaceae
Rfam family: tRNA
About the family: Transfer RNA (tRNA) molecules are approximately 80 nucleotides in length. Their secondary structure includes four short double-helical elements and three loops (D, anti-codon, and T loops).
Source: Rfam by way of RNAcentral
GGGCCCUUAGCUCAGUCUGGUUAGAGCGCUCGGCUCAUAACAAACGCCGGUAGGUGCCGGGUUUGAGGGAUACCGAGUGGUCGAUGGUUCGAAUCCGUCAGGGCCCA